This 76-nucleotide transfer RNA is filed under the name Candidatus Omnitrophota bacterium. Its description in RNAcentral is "tRNA-Ala". It matches the Rfam family "tRNA". From Rfam's summary of the family: Transfer RNA (tRNA) molecules are approximately 80 nucleotides in length. Their secondary structure includes four short double-helical elements and three loops (D, anti-codon, and T loops). Further hydrogen bonds mediate the characteristic L-shaped molecular structure. tRNAs have two regions of fundamental functional importance: the anti-codon, which is responsible for specific mRNA codon recognition, and the 3' end, to which the tRNAs corresponding amino acid is attached (by aminoacyl-tRNA synthetases). tRNAs cope with the degeneracy of the genetic code in two manners: having more than one tRNA (with a specific anti-codon) for a particular amino acid; and 'wobble' base-pairing, i.e. permitting non-standard base-pairing at the 3rd anti-codon position. Lineage: Bacteria; Pseudomonadati; Candidatus Omnitrophota. The record is from RNAcentral.
GGGGCUGUAGCUCACCUGGUAGAGCGCCUGCAUGGCAUGCAGGAGGUAAGGGGUUCGAUCCCCCUCAGCUCCACCA